GGGAUGCCUUACCAUGCNAGUCGAACGGCAGCACGGACUUCGGUCUGGUGGCGAGUGGCGAACGGGUGAGUAAUGUAUCGGAACGUGCCCAGUAGCGGGGGAUAACUACGCGAAAGCGUAGCUAAUACCGCAUACGCCCUACGGGGGAAAGCAGGGGAUCGCAAGACCUUGCACUAUUGGAGCGGCCGAUAUCGGAUUAGCUAGUUGGUGGGGUAACGGCUCACCAAGGCGACGAUCCGUAGCUGGUUUGAGAGGACGACCAGCCACACUGGGACUGAGACACGGCCCAGACUCCUACGGGAGGCAGCAGUGGGGAAUUUUGGACAAUGGGGGAAACCCUGAUCCAGCCAUCCCGCGUGUGCGAUGAAGGCCUUCGGGUUGUAAAGCACUUUUGGCAGGAAAGAAACGUCGCGGGUUAAUACCCCGCGAAACUGACGGUACCUGCAGAAUAAGCACCGGCUAACUACGUGCCAGCAGCCGCGGUAAU
Molecule: ribosomal RNA, 487 nt
Filed under: uncultured bacterium
Lineage: Bacteria
Description: bacterial SSU rRNA
Rfam family: Bacterial small subunit ribosomal RNA
Source: RNAcentral